Molecule: RNA transcript, 1704 nt
Organism: Pleuronectes platessa (European plaice)
Lineage: Eukaryota; Metazoa; Chordata; Actinopteri; Pleuronectiformes; Pleuronectidae
Exons: 6
Source: RefSeq, a predicted model, not a curated record
CCCUGGUGUGUUGGCCCCUGCAGCUCCAGCAGGUUAAUGAUAAACCGAAGCGGUGCAAGCAGCUGUAGCGCACAACACAGCUCCUAAGAAAUACCGGAAUCAAACUACAAAUGUUAUUUUGCGCAGAGCUGUCAAUACCGGGACCGUAUUUGACCCCGAGAGGGCACAAACCUACGUCGAGCGCAAUGUUACACUGAAGUUAGUAUUAUACACUUAAGUGGGACGGUGUUAAAGUUUACUACAGGUAGGAAGUACAACAGAAAUUACCGCGGUCAGAGUUGGCUGGGGCUGGGGUGAGCGGACUAUUCAUAGGCUGAUAAAAACCCGGAGAUGGACCGGUACAGGUACUUCAAUUUGAACCAGAAAAGCGUGCUCGGCCUCGGUGUCCUCCAGGUGGCUUGUGCAGGUCUCUGUAUGGUCUGCGGCUUUAUGGACGCUGUUUUCCGCAAGGAUACCGUGCUGAGUUGCACCAGGACGCCGGUGUGGGGAGGACUGGUGAGAUACUGCCCCUUUGUUAGAAACUCUUGCCGACAGAUCAUGGCCUCUCCAGGUGUUUUGGCGCUGUUGGCUUCACAAAGAAAAAAUUCCGUUUUGGUGAGUGUGAUGGUGGCAGCAGCAGGACUCUCCUGUGUGGCUGUGCUGUUUAUUUCUGGUUAUGCCUGUCUGACGCUCACUUAUGGAGAGGAGGAUGAAGAUGUCUUUCACCACCACGACAGUCCUCAAGUGACUUUUGUGCUUCAUCGGAUGGUGAAGGGGGCCAAUGCCACCAUACUGCUGACCUGCACCAUCAGCCUGAGUCUUUCCACUUUCAUUGCCUACGUGGGCUGCCGCAGUUUGCCCUGCUGUGGCUGCUAUGAUGCCAGAACUGGACUGAAUAUACCUGUGCUGUGGAUUUUUGUUCGGUGCUGAAGGGAAUUCUGCUGUCUUUUCACAACUGUUACAAGAGUUCCUGUUUCUGGCUAACGUCAACUUCUGCUGCAGCUGACUGGUUGAUAUCAAGUGCUGUGUGUUUUUUUUUAAAUGACAAAAUUGUUAACUUUCACAAUGAUCAGUUGCUCAUUCCAAAGACAUGGACACCAAACAAGCUACUUGACUUUUGUGGAUUAUUCAACAUAUUUGUGAUUGCCAAGUCUAAUUUGUUCUACACCAUACAGGCAUUUCAAUGCACGUGUUCAGUGAUGCAUGAAGGCGGGUGUGGAAGGACAAUAUGAAGUACUGAAGGUUGGGUUAGUUGUACCUGCAAUAACUUCAAUCUAUUUUCAACCCUAGUCAAAAUAAAUACUAAAUAAGCAUUAGGGCAGCUGUACAUACUAACACUGGAUGGUUACAGUUUGAAGAAGAGGUCAAAGGUUGAACUGCAAUCACCCUGGGUUGUGUAGUCCAAAGACAGGAUAACACAGAUCCCUCUGUUCAGGACAUGCUGUUGGUUAAACAAAGAAGUUCUACUCUAAGAACAACAUUUUUGUUGAGUUUUUGUCACCAAGGAUGUAACUUUUUUUAAUCCAAGAACUGACCUUUCUGUGACUGUUAACAAUUUGUGUGUCUAUGAUGUAGGAGACCCUGGUCCCUCAGUGCGACCCUGGGGACACUGAGAUGGUUUGUACCUGGCAAGCAGGAGGUGAUGACAGGCUUUUUAACUCUCCACCUCAGUCCACUGAGCAGUACACCGCUGAGGAAGAAGGACCCUCCAAACUACCUCCAUAC